Molecule: long non-coding RNA, 466 nt
Organism: Styela clava
Lineage: Eukaryota; Metazoa; Chordata; Ascidiacea; Stolidobranchia; Styelidae
Source: RefSeq, a predicted model, not a curated record
CGCAUAUUGUCUUUAAAAUAGAUCAAAUUUCUCGUUCACUAUUUCAAGUGGAAACGAUGAUACACCCCAUAUGGAAUACAUGAAUCCUUAUCACUUACUAAUAAAAUAUUAACAUAGGGUUACAGCAACAGAACGGCGAUAUUAUCUCUACAAUGUAUCAUUUACUAUUGCUGGUUGUUCUCUUUUCUAGUGUGGAAUACUGCAAAGCACAUUGCUGGCCAAUUCGGUUUUGGUUCCACACAAGGACAACGUUCAAGGGGCCGCCAAAUUCUGGAUGGCCGAUAUUCAAGAGGUGCAUAUUUGCUCAUGACGUCCAAAAAGAAUCUGAAGAUAUAAAGGACUACGUUGAUAUGUUUCAAUAAUGUAAUUUUUUGUAUGUAUGAUUGUGGUCUGAAAUUACGAUGGUAUUUUUUAAUAUUUGAUUUAAACCGUAUACCGCAAGUAAUACAUUAUGUUAUGCAUCGAA